CUUUCCGGGCAACCUAACCCUAGAUGACGGCAGUCGUUUUGCACGGUGUGACCAGUCGUUACCGCGCUGCUGUACGGUCUUGUGCAGAAUUGUUUACUAUUGGCGUUAUUCCAUCAAUUUCACAAACCAGAUAUAUGGUUUUGAGUUUUCGUGAGCAAGACAACAUCAUGGCUAUUUGACGAAAACGACGAUGUUCGUCACUAAAAUUAUUUAAUAUUCAAGAGCAAGGCAACAUCAUAGCAGUUUGACGAAAAAGACCAUGUUUUGCCAGUCAUUUAUAUAAACGUUGUCUUCGACGAGAAACCAGUUCGGUAUCGCCAUCUUUCUCGAGAUUGAGGCAACACUUGUUGCCAUAAACACCAGAACCCGAAUUCGUUGGGAGGAACUCGUGGUUGAAACCUUUGGAAUCGGGAAUUUGCAUUCACGCAUUCGUUGCCUUUCAUUAAUUCCUCGUCACACACAAGAUUAGCACUAUGGCUGUUGACUACCAACCACCUGAAUGUCUCUCAAAACCCAUCGAGGUCCCGUCCAAACUGUUGAUGGGAGCUGGUCCGUCUAAUGCGGCCGAAAAUGUUUUAAGAGCUGGAAGCUUGCCAUUGUUAGGGCAUUUACAUACUGAAUUUGUCCAGAUUAUGGAUGAUGUCAAACAAGGCAUUCAAUAUGCAUUUCAGACCAAGAAUAAUUUGACUCUUGCGAUCAGUGGCACAGGUCAUGCAGGCAUGGAAGCAGCUUUGUGUAACCUCAUCGAAAGAAAUGAUGUUGUACUCAUUGGCAUCAACGGAAUUUGGGGAGAAAGGGCAGCAGACAUGGCCAACCGGCAAGGUGCUGAUGUUAGAACUCUAACCAAAACAGCUGGGGAAAAUUUCAAGAUGGGUGAAAUUGAAGCAGCUUUAGUACAACACAAGCCAGCGAUUUUCUUUCUGGCUCAAGGAGAAUCAUCAACUGGUGUUGUCCAGCCUAUAGAGGGUGUUGGUGCACUCUGCUCCAAAUAUGGCUGCUUAUUGCUAGUUGAUGCUGUAGCCUCUCUUGGCGGCGAGCCGUUUUAUAUGGAUCGCUGGCAAGUAGAUGUUGUUUACACGGGAUCCCAAAAAGUCCUGGGAGCUCCCCCCGGCACCGCUCCCAUCUCUUUUGGCCCUCGUGCAGUGGCCAAGAUUGCCGCACGAAAGACCCCGAUAUCGUCUUUUUAUUUCGACAUGAAUUGGCUUGGCAACUAUUGGGGGUGUGAUAGCCAACCACGCAAGUACCACCACACUGCGCCCAUUUCCAGCAUCUACGCCUUGCGCGAAGCUCUUGCUUUGCUGGCCAAUGAAGGCCUGGAGAAUUCAUGGAAUCGCCAUCGUCAAUGCCGAGAUCGCCUUAUCAACGGCUUGGCUAAGUUGAACCUCAAGCCGCUGGCGUCCGACCCUGCUGCCCGUCUGACGUGCAUCACGGCAAUUCAAGUCCCAGAUGGCGUAGACUGGAAAUCCGUCACCACCCACGCCAUGUCCAUGCGUGUGGAGAUUGCCGGUGGAUUAGGCCCGACUGCUGGUCGUAUCUGGCGUGUCGGACUAAUGGGACAGAACGCCACUGAUGAACGCGUGGAUCGAGUUUUGGACGUAUUAGCCGAGUCUAUCAAGAGCUCCACCACCCCACCGGUCAUGGGUCGUCUUUGAAGCUGCCGCUAUCUCGCCACCACAUUCCCGAUAUUAUAAGAACCCAGAUCUUCCACUAGGCUCGUCUGGUGGUGGUUGGCCCGACGGAUGCCAUAAUGACUUCUCUCGUUCCCCCCCUCCCCCUUCCUUCAAGAUUCUACCUUGAACUAACUAGGAAGCCAACGCUAAUCAAUGCAAAUAAAGACGACUGCAUCUGACAAAAACGCAGAACAAAAUCAAGG
RNAcentral lists this unclassified non-coding RNA (1873 nucleotides) under Daphnia magna. Its description in RNAcentral is "serine--pyruvate aminotransferase, mitochondrial, transcript variant X2". Lineage: Eukaryota; Metazoa; Arthropoda; Branchiopoda; Diplostraca; Daphniidae. The record is from RNAcentral.